AUGGUUGGACAAGCUAUUAUUACACAACGUGACCUGGAGUAUAUGCUAGUGGAUCCGACCCUAGAGCCCACGGCCCUGCCUUUGUCACUUUUGUUAGAAAUCACACAUGGUUUCUCCAAUGACAUGGAAAUUGGCAGAGGCGGCUUUGCGACUGUUUAUAAGGCAACACUUGAGAAUGGAUCCGUAGCUGUAAAGAAGUUGCUCAAUACGCACAUCCACGAGAAAGAAUUUCAAGAAGAGGUUAAAUGUCUCGUGAAGGUGAAGCACAAGAAUAUCGUACGAUUUCUGGGAUAUUGUUCCGACACACAAGGAAAUAUGGCAAAUAACAACGGAACAUUAGUCAUGGCAGAUGUGCAACAAAGAUUGCUCGUCUUUGAGUAUCUACCAAAGGGAAGUCUUGAUGUUUAUAUCAAGAAUUCACCCAGAGAACUUGAAUGGAUAGAGCGCUACCGAGUAAUAAAAGGGAUCUGUAAGGGGUUAAAUUAUCUUCACAAUCAAAAUAUUCUGCACUUGGAUUUAAAACCGGGAAACAUAUUGUUGGAUGAACAUAUGACUCCGAAAAUUACCGAUUUUGGACAGUCAAGGUGUAUUGAGGAAAAUCAAACAAGAUUCAUGACUAAUAAUGUGCGAGGAACAUUGGGAUAUUGGGCACCGGAAUGGCAUGAGAAUGAAGGAGAGGUAUUACAAGUCACACGCAAGUUUGACUUGUACAGUCUUGGUGUUAUAAUUAUGGAGCUUUUGACCGGAAUGAAGGGGUCUCGAAGUAUUGAAGAUGUACGUGAAAUUUGGAGUCAUAAGUCAGACAUAUCAUGGUGGGGUCAAAUACAAGUAUGUGCUGAGAUUGGGAUUGAGUGCACUAACUUAAUACCAGCCAAGAGACCAGAAAGUAUGACGCAUAUAAUUGAUAGGAUUUUAUCAGAAAAAAGUAGUACACAUGUAAUUCCAGAGGGUGGGCCCAACAAUCUUCUUAUCCUUCACCCGCCAGCACUUCGCUUCCCCUUCGAGGCAAACAAGGUUAUCAUGUGUCCGCUUCAGCUAACAAAUAACACCGACAAACACAUCACAUUUACGCUUAGGGAGAAAAGUGGGGGGCCCUCCUUCCUAAGGCUGCCAUUGUAUGGUGUUGUGCCGCCUAACACCCCUUGCACCCUCAUCGUACCCACACAAGCAAAAGAAGAGUUUCCACGAAAGUGGAUCACAGAUCUGAUCCUCCAUAGUGCUACAUUUACACAAGGGGAUUUUGAUUCUUUCGAAAGAUACCGUUUAGGCCAUUGUUUUAGUGUGAAGAGGAAUGCAGUGCAGACAAUUGUGGAGUUCAAAGCACUUUAUACUCUGCCUCGACACAUCACGACACUGUUGUCUAUGCCAACCACACCCACAAUAAAGAUUAUAUGCCAGGUACGGGUUGUCCUCCGGUAUUCCUUGGAUACAAACCCGGACAAGCAAUGGAUAAUAGUUGGGGAAGAUUCAGGACAUGUUACUAUUUGGGACUACCAGACACAGAGAAAAGUGGAUUCAUUUGAACUCUCAUCGAAACAAGAUCUUAGAAGCGUUAUAUUUAUUCAACGGAAACAAUGGACUGUUACGGGCACAGGAAAUGGUCACGUCCAUGUGUACAACUAUGAAAAAAUGGAAAAGAUCACAAGUUUCAGAGUUACAAGAUCUGAAGGGUUUCUCACGACAAUGGCUGUUCACCCAACCCGGCCGUAUUUGCUGACAGCGGGUACACACAUGAAACUUUGGGACUGGGACAAGGGUUGGGAGUGUGUGCAGGCAUUUAAUGUUGCGAAUUUUAUAUACGGGGACAGAGUGUGUCAUGUGGCAUUUAACACAAAUCACAACUUCGCUACUGCUUCAGCUAGUUCAGACAACACUGUGGAGAUGGUUGUGAAGGUUUGGAGUCUUGAUUGUCCAAGCUCUAACUAUGCGCUAUCUGGGCAUUUGCACAAAGUGAACUGCUUGGAUUUCUUCACAUGCCACAGUAACGAGUUUUUGAUUACGGGAUCACAUGAUCAUACUGCCAAGAUAUGGUAUUUGCAGAAGAAGAUAUGUGCAUAUACACUUACAGCAUUCGUAGCUCCAGUUACAGCUGUCCUGUACCAACCCAGUCUUGAGACUCUAAUUACAGGUACAGAAGAUGGUGUUCUUUAUUUUUGGAGCACGACAAACUGCAGGAUAUAUUCAUGCCCCCCCACGCUCAAAAUAAUUAUCAACAUUGACUGUUUCGGAGGUGUCCACCAUCUCGCAUGUGUGAUGGGAAGGGUCGUGAUUGGAAAUUAUAACACAGUAGCAAUUAUGGAAAUUGCUAAUAAGAAUUGGCAGGAGCAAUCAACAAAUUACAAUGAGAAGCAGAUAAGUGCGAAUAUGGGACAACAUGCUGGAGACACAAAGUCUAAGAUCACAGGGUCCAUGAGCAAGCUACUUGAUGUCAGCCCGCAGGAACUCUGCUUCCCCUACCAUCCUAAUGAGCCCUAUCCAUGCUUAUUGCACCUAACAAACAAUACUGAUGAAGAAGUGGCAUUUAGACUUGUAGACAGGAGCGGCAAGUCCCCGUGGUGCUUUACCAAACUGCCAUUGUAUGGCAUUGUUCCGCAGAGAUCCACUCAAACUUUAAUGGUGACAACGAAAGAGGAGAUGAAGUUAGAGAGAGCAAGAGACUUUGAUCUAGCCAUCCAGAGUUAUUUCUUGCGAGACAAUUACACGGUAUUCAAAGACAGAUUGGAGUCUGAUAAAUUUUUCAUGGAGGCUGAACAAUUCAAGAAUAUGGUGCAUGAGGUGACCUUGGAAGCCGUCUAUCCGAUGUACGAAGAGAUCCGAUCUGAGCAUAUAUCAGUGAAGUAUAAUCCUGACAGUAUAUGUUCCCUGGAUACACAUCCAACAGAACUAUGGAUUUUAACUGGCCAUUAUAGUGGAUCUGCUCACGUAUGGAACCAUGAGAUGAAGCACCCACUGAACUCAUUUAAAGUCUCAGAUGAUGAAGUUUGCUCCAUGAAAUUUAUUGCAAGGGAAUGCAUUGUAGCUGUGACACGUGAUAAUCACCUCCAUGUGUACGAUUGUGCAUGUGUAUCGAAAAUCGAAAAGAUCAGGAGUGUCAUACCUCCGCAUUAUGUGUCCUCCAGUCCAAUACUAGCCGUUCAUCCAAUCCUACCGUAUGUGUUGUUAUCACAGGCAGUGGUUUUAGACUGGGAGCAGGGCUGGAAGCCCAAACAAAGAUUUUGGGCUGGUUGGUCUGAUGUACCAGAGGCGGCCGCAUUUAACCCUGGGGAUGCCGAAUGUUUUGCGACUGGGUGUAAGAAUGGCAAAGUACAGGUUUGGCUGCUUGGUUCUCUCUACCCUGAAUAUUCUUUCGGUGGGCAUUCCGGUACUGUGAACUGCGUUGAUUUUAUCCCACAUGGAGGUCAACACUAUUUGGUCAGUUGCUCUGAGGAUGGCACUAUCAUGAUCUGGGACUUGCAGAAAAGGGAAGGCAUUUGUACAAUCGAAGUUAGGGCUCCAGUUCUUUCUGUCCUUGCCCAUCCAAACCUCCCGUUAUUAAUUACAGGGACAUCACAUGGCAUCAUUUACGUGUGGAGCUCUACUGAUUUCAGGCUAAAGAGAACAAUUAACUUAGGUGGUGGUGGACCUAUUGUCUCUCUUGGAUAUUUGAUGGCUUUACGAAGGAUUGUGAUUAGGCAAAAGAACACAAUAACUAACAUGGAAAUCACCGAUGAGGAAGCGUUGGUACCUGAAAGUACGUCGACGAAGGGAGCUGAAGCGGAGCGCAAUCAAGACAGAGCAGAGGACAGCAAAACAGAGGAACUGGUUGAAAUGCAAGAGCAGCAAGGAGCUGAAGCGGAGCGCAUUCAAGACAAAGCAGAGGACAGCGAAACAGAGGAACUGGAUGAAAUGGAGGAGCAGCAAGAGUUGCAACCCACGAUUGUAAAGCCCCGAGCACAACGCCGCCAGGAGAAGAAACAAGCCCGCGUGCUGGCGAAGCGAGCUGAAGUGGAGCGCAGAAAAGCUGAAGCAGAGCAACGCCGCCGGUAG
Molecule: ribosomal RNA, 4026 nt
Filed under: Triticum aestivum (bread wheat)
Lineage: Eukaryota; Viridiplantae; Streptophyta; Magnoliopsida; Poales; Poaceae
Description: partial small subunit ribosomal RNA
Source: RNAcentral